AGGUAGUAAUAUUGUAUUAUAAAACCUAUUUAUAAAGGCGGCAUUUUUUCUUAUUAGAGGAACUUGUUUAUUAAUCGAUAAUCCACGAUAACUUUCACUUUUUAUAAAAAUUUAUAUACCGCCAUCUUAAGAACCAAUUUAACAAUAUCACUCUUAAUAAAAAAUAAAAAGUUAGGUCAAGGUGUAAUUUACAAAAAAGAAGAAAAUGAGUUACAUUAAAAAUUAUUUAAGAAUUUUAUUUUUUAAAAAUCAAAUGAAAUAGGAUUUAAAAGUAAUUUUUCAAAACAAUAAUUUAUUAUGAACCAGAUAAAAAAUGUGC
This 319-nucleotide ribosomal RNA is filed under the name Tolma sp. CG283. RNAcentral's name for it is "partial 12S ribosomal RNA". The record is from RNAcentral. Lineage: Eukaryota; Metazoa; Arthropoda; Arachnida; Araneae; Pisauridae.